RNAcentral lists this ribosomal RNA (579 nucleotides) under Trichoderma erinaceum. RNAcentral's name for it is "eukaryotic LSU rRNA". The stretch from base 203 to 356 matches the Rfam family "5.8S ribosomal RNA". The record is from RNAcentral. Lineage: Eukaryota; Fungi; Ascomycota; Sordariomycetes; Hypocreales; Hypocreaceae.
GCGGAGGGAUCAUUACCGAGUUUUCAACUCCCCAAACCCAAUGUGAACCAUACCAAACUGUUGCCUCGGCGGGGUCACGCCCCGGGUGCGUCGCAGCCCCGGAACCAGGCGCCCGCCGGAGGGACCAACCAAACUCUUUACUGUAGUCCCCUCGCGGACGUUAUUUCUUACAGCUCUGAGCAAAAAAUUCAAAAUGAAUCAAAACUUUCAACAACGGAUCUCUUGGUUCUGGCAUCGAUGAAGAACGCAGCGAAAUGCGAUAAGUAAUGUGAAUUGCAGAAUUCAGUGAAUCAUCGAAUCUUUGAACGCACAUUGCGCCCGCCAGUAUUCUGGCGGGCAUGCCUGUCCGAGCGUCAUUUCAACCCUCGAACCCCUCCGGGGGGUCGGCGUUGGGGAUCGGGAACCCCUCAGACGGGAUCCCGGCCCCGAAAUACAGUGGCGGUCUCGCCGCAGCCUCUCCUGCGCAGUAGUUUGCACAACUCGCACCGGGAGCGCGGCGCGUCCACGUCCGUAAAACACCCAACUUUCUGAAAUGUUGACCUCGGAUCAGGUAGGAAUACCCGCUGAACUUAAGCAUAU